This 237-nucleotide long non-coding RNA is filed under the name Elaeis guineensis (African oil palm). RNAcentral's name for it is "long non-coding RNA (EGUI_LNC028551)". Lineage: Eukaryota; Viridiplantae; Streptophyta; Magnoliopsida; Arecales; Arecaceae. The record is from RNAcentral.
GUGGGGGAGGGGUUAAACAUCCCAGCAUAAUUGUUGAAGGCAUAGUAAGGUUGUGAAGUGGUUUUUAUUUCACACCAGCAUAACAUGAAGCAAUUGGUAUCCUCUUUUGUUAAAAAAGGUCUUGAGUUCAAAUAAUCUUGGGUUGAUGCAAGAACCAUGAGUUACUGAACGUUUUGGAAGUUUUGUGUCUUCUUUUAUAAAUAAACUUGAUAAGUUGAUGUAGAAAUUUAUGCAUGC